UACGAAGGGGGCUAGCGUUGCUCGGAAUCACUGGGCGUAAAGGGUGCGUAGGUGGCGCUGUAAGUCGGGUGUGAAAUUUCGGAGCUUAACUCCGAAACUGCAUUCGAUACUGCGGUGCUCGAGGACUGGAGAGGAGACUGGAAUUCCUGGUGUAGCGGUGAAAUGCGCAGAUAUCAGGAGGAACACCGGUGGCGAAGGCGGGUCUCUGGGCCGAUAUCGACGCUGAGGAGCGAAAGCGUGGGGAGCGAACAGG
RNAcentral lists this ribosomal RNA (253 nucleotides) under uncultured bacterium. RNAcentral's name for it is "partial 16S ribosomal RNA". It matches the Rfam family "Bacterial small subunit ribosomal RNA", at positions 524 to 776 of the family's 1533-position model. The record is from RNAcentral.